AGCGAACGCUGGCGGCAGGCUUAACACAUGCAAGUCGAGCGGGCACUUUCGGGUGUCAGCGGCGGACGGGUGAGUAACGCGUGGGAACGUGCCCUCUGGUUCGGAAUAACUCAGGGAAACUUGAGCUAAUACCGGAUACGCCCUUUUGGGGAAAGGCUUGCUGCCGGAGGAUCGGCCCGCGUCUGAUUAGCUAGUUGGUGAGGUAACGGCUCACCAAGGCGACGAUCAGUAGCUGGUCUGAGAGGAUGAUCAGCCACACUGGGACUGAGACACGGCCCAGACUCCUACGGGAGGCAGCAGUGGGGAAUAUUGGACAAUGGGCGCAAGCCUGAUCCAGCCAUGCCGCGUGAGUGAUGAAGGCCUUAGGGUUGUAAAGCUCUUUUAUCCGGGACGAUAAUGACGGUACCGAAGGAAAAAGCCCCGGCUAACUUCGUG
Molecule: ribosomal RNA, 435 nt
Filed under: uncultured bacterium
Lineage: Bacteria
Description: partial 16S ribosomal RNA
Rfam family: Bacterial small subunit ribosomal RNA
Source: RNAcentral